UUUACUUUGAGUAAAUUAGAGUGUUUAAAGCAGCCUCUUUGGGCUUUGAAUAGCAUUAGCAUGGGAUAAUAGAAUAGGACUUUGGUUCUAUUUUGUUGGUUUUCAGAACCUGAGUAAUGAUUAAUAGGGACAGUUGGGGGCAUUUGUAUUUUGUUGUCAGAGGUGAAAUUCUUAGAUUUACGAAAGACAAACUAGUGCGAAAGCAUUUGCCAAGGAUGUUUUCAUUAAUCAAGAACGAAAGUUAGGGGAUCGAAGAUGAUUAGAUACCGUCGUAGUCCUAUACCAUAAACUAUGCCGACCAGGGAUUUGUGGACGUUUAUUUUCAAAAAUGACUCCAUGAGCACCUUGUGAGAAAUCAUAAGUCUUUGGGUUCCGGGGGGAGUAUGGUCGCAAGGCUGAAACUUAAAGGAAUUGACGGAGGGGCACCACCAGGCGUGGAGCUUGCGGCUUAAUUUGACAACACGGGGAAACUUACCAGGCCAAGACAUUUGAAGGAUUGACAGAUUGAGAGCUCUUUCUUGAUUAUAUGGGUGGUGGUGCAUGGCCGUUCUUAGUUGGUGGAGUGAUUUGUCUGGUUAAUUCCGUUAACGAACGAGACCUCAUCUUGCUAAAUAGACUAUUCAGUUUUUUAACUGUAAUACUGUCUUCUUAGAAGGACUUUUGGUUCACAAGCCAAAGGAAGUUUGAGGCGAUAACAGGUCUGUGAUGCCCUUAGAUGUUCUGGGCUGCACGCGUGCUACACUGAUAGAGCCAACGAGUUUACAACCUUGGCAGAUAUGUCUGGGUAAUCUUGCGAAACUCUAUCGUGCUGGGGAUAGAUGAUUGGAAUUAUUCAUCUUCAACGAGGAAUGCCUAGUAAGCGCAAUUCAUCAGAUUGCGUUGAUUACGUCCCUGCCCCUUGUACACACCGCCCGUCGCUACUACCGAUUGGAUGGUCCGGUGAAAUUCUCGAAUCGUGCUGUCACUUUGUGACUCUCGGGUUACAAAGCCAGUGUGAGAAGUUAAUUAAACCUUAUCAUCUAGAGGAAGUAAAAGUCG
This 1038-nucleotide ribosomal RNA is filed under the name uncultured soil eukaryote. Its description in RNAcentral is "SSU rRNA". It matches the Rfam family "Eukaryotic small subunit ribosomal RNA", at positions 751 to 1791 of the family's 1831-position model. The record is from RNAcentral.